CAGAUUACGAGUCUUUCGCUCUUAACCACUACACCACACAAACAGCCUUGCUGUCUCUUUCUCCACAAGUAGGUUUCGGUGGAUACAGAAAAGCUGAACGGAGCUUUGGUGAUGGUAGGAACACUACAGUUCAGUCAUUAGCCAACAUUGCCUGGACAAAUCUGCAUGAGAGCCCACAAGCACAGCUGAACGGAUCAUGCAGGCUUAUUUUGCACACAGGAAAUGCUUGAUACAAGGGGUGAGCGAGGGAAAUGCUUGAUACAAGGGUUCCCACUGGGCCAUUCUGUGGCAAAUGGGAUUGCGGGCAGUGUGCACAGGUUGCAGCUCUGCCACCGUUUGAAUGUCAAAAGAAAGCAGGGAAAUUAGCACUUGGCUAAC
Molecule: non-coding RNA, 378 nt
Organism: Podarcis lilfordi (Lilford's wall lizard)
Lineage: Eukaryota; Metazoa; Chordata; Lepidosauria; Squamata; Lacertidae
Source: the annotation of a GenBank genome assembly